GAUGAACGCUGGCGGCGUGCCUAAUACAUGCAAGUCGAGCGAACAGACGAGGAGCUUACUCCUCUGACGUUAGCGGCGGACGGGUGAGUAACACGUGGAUAACCUACCUAUAAGACUGGGAUAACUUCGGGAAACCGGAGCUAAUACCGGAUAACAUGUUGAACCGCAUGGUUCAACAGUGAAAGACGGUCUUGCUGUCACUUAUAGAUGGAUCCGCGUCGCAUUAGCUAGUUGGUAAGGUAACGGCUUACCAAGGCAACGAUGCGUAGCCGACCUGAGAGGGUGAUCGGCCACACUGGAACUGAGACACGGUCCAGACUCCUACGGGAGGCAGCAGUAGGGAAUCUUCCGCAAAGGGCGAAAGCCUGACGGAGCAACGCCGCGUGAGUGAAGAAGGUCUUCGGAUCGUAAAACUCUGUUAUUAGGGAAGAACAAAUGUGUAAGUAACUAUGCGCGUCUUGACGGUACCUAAUCAGAAAGCCACGGCUAACUACGUG
This 497-nucleotide ribosomal RNA is filed under the name uncultured bacterium. RNAcentral describes it as "partial 16S ribosomal RNA". It matches the Rfam family "Bacterial small subunit ribosomal RNA", at positions 28 to 507 of the family's 1533-position model. The record is from RNAcentral.